RNAcentral lists this transfer RNA (102 nucleotides) under Coemansia sp. RSA 2531. RNAcentral's name for it is "tRNA-Ser". It matches the Rfam family "tRNA". From Rfam's summary of the family: Transfer RNA (tRNA) molecules are approximately 80 nucleotides in length. The record is from RNAcentral. RNAcentral also lists the same sequence under 10 other names. Lineage: Eukaryota; Fungi; Kickxellomycota; Kickxellomycetes; Kickxellales; Kickxellaceae.
GACACUUUGGCCGAGUGGUUAAGGCGACGCCCUGCUAUUGCAGCAGUGCUUGUUGAUAGGCGUUGUCCAUUGGACGCGCAGGUUCGAAUCCUGCAGGUGUCG